UACGGGGGGGGCAAGCGUUGUUCGGAAUUACAGGGCGUAAAGGGCUCGUAGGUGGCCAACUAAGUCAGACGUGAAAUCCCCAGGCUCAACUUGGGAACUGCGUCUGAUACUGGAUGGCUUGAAUUCGGGAGAGGGAUGCAGAAUUCCAGGUGUAGCGGUGAAAUGCGUAGAUAUCUGGAGGAAUACCGGUGGCGAAGGCGGCAUCCUGGACCGAUAUUGACACUGAUGAGCGAAAGCUAGGGGAGCAAACGGG
Molecule: ribosomal RNA, 253 nt
Filed under: uncultured bacterium
Lineage: Bacteria
Description: partial 16S ribosomal RNA
Rfam family: Bacterial small subunit ribosomal RNA
Source: RNAcentral